GGGGGUAUAGUUAAAUUAACAUUUAAUUUGCAAUUAAAAGAUAUUAUUAAUAAAUAAUUUCCCUCA
RNAcentral lists this transfer RNA (66 nucleotides) under Poecilocoris nepalensis. RNAcentral's name for it is "tRNA-Ala". The record is from RNAcentral. Lineage: Eukaryota; Metazoa; Arthropoda; Insecta; Hemiptera; Scutelleridae.